UAAUUAUACUUUUUGCGGAGUGGAGCAGUUUGGUAGCUCGUUGGGCUCAUAACCCGAAAGUCGCAGGUUCAAAUCCGGCCUCCGCUA
This 87-nucleotide transfer RNA is filed under the name Saccharina japonica. RNAcentral's name for it is "tRNA-Met". The stretch from base 14 to 87 matches the Rfam family "tRNA". From Rfam's summary of the family: Transfer RNA (tRNA) molecules are approximately 80 nucleotides in length. Their secondary structure includes four short double-helical elements and three loops (D, anti-codon, and T loops). Lineage: Eukaryota; Phaeophyceae; Laminariales; Laminariaceae. The record is from RNAcentral.